AAGGUAACGGCUUACCAAGGCAACGAUACGUAGCCGACCUGAGAGGGGAUCGGCCACACUGGAACUGAGACACGGUCCAGACUCCUACGGGAGGCAGCAGUAGGGAAUCUUCCAAUGGGCGAAAGCCUGACGGAGCAACGCCGCGUGAGUGAUGAAGGUCUUCGGAUCGUAAAACUCUGUUAUCAGGGAAGAACAAAUGUGUAAGUAACUGUGCACAUCUUGACGGUACCUGAUCAGAAAGCCACGGCUAACUACGUGCCAGCAGCCGCGGUAAUACGUAGGUGGCAAGCGUUAUCCGGGAAUUAUUGGGCGUAAAGCGCGCGUAGGCGGUUUUUUAAGUCUGAUGUGAAAGCCCACGGCUCAACCGUGGAGGGUCAUUGGAAACUGGAAAACUUGAGUGCAGAAGAGGAAAGUGGAAUUCCAUGUGUAGCGGUGAAAUGCGCAGAGAUAUGGAGGAACACCAGUGGCGAAGGCGACUUUCUGGUCUGUAACUGACGCUGAUGUGCGAAAGCGUGGGGAUCAAACAGGAUUAGAUACCCUGGUAGUCCACGCCGUAAACGAUGAGUGCUAAGUGUUAGGGGGUUUCCGCCCCUUAGUGCUGCAGCUAACGCAUUAAGCACUCCGCCUGGGGAGUACGACCGCAAGGUUGAAACUCAAGGGAUUUGACGGGGACCCGCACAAGCGGUGGAGCAUGUGGUUUAAUUCGAAGCAACGCGAAACCUUACCAAAUCUUGACAUCCUUUGACCGCUCUAGAGAUAGAGUCUUCCCCUUCGGGGGACAAAGUGACAGGUGGUGCAUGGUUGUCGUCAGCUCGUGUCGUGAGAUGUUGGGUUAAGUCCCGCAACGAGCGCAACCCUUAAGCUUAGUUGCCAUCAUUAAGUUGGGCACUCUAAGUUGACUGCCGGUGACAAACCGGAGGAAGGUGGGGAUGACGUCAAAUCAUCAUGCCCCUUAUGAUUUGGGCUACCCACGGUGCUACAAUGGACAAUACAAAGGGCA
RNAcentral lists this ribosomal RNA (1000 nucleotides) under Staphylococcus sp. Its description in RNAcentral is "bacterial SSU rRNA". It matches the Rfam family "Bacterial small subunit ribosomal RNA", at positions 254 to 1248 of the family's 1533-position model. The record is from RNAcentral. Lineage: Bacteria; Bacillati; Bacillota; Bacilli; Caryophanales; Staphylococcaceae.